GAAAUGCGAUAAGUAGUGUGAAUUGCAGAAUUCAGUGAAUCAUCGAAUCUUUGAACGCACAUUGCGCCCCUUGGUAUUCCAUGGGGCAUGCCUGUUCGAGCGUCAUUUGUACCCUCAAGCUCUGCUUGGUGUUGGGUGUUUGUCCCGUUUUGCACGUGGACUCGCCUCAAAUCAAUUGGCAGCCGGCAAUCUGGUAUUUGAGCGCAGCACAUUUUGCGCUUCUUGCCAUGGAUGUUGGCGUCCAUUAAGCAAUAUUUUUGCUCUUGACCUCGGAUCAGGUAGGGAUACCCGCUGAACUUAA
Molecule: unclassified non-coding RNA, 301 nt
Filed under: uncultured Pleosporales
Lineage: Eukaryota; Fungi; Ascomycota; Dothideomycetes; Pleosporales
Description: sequence contains ITS1
Rfam family: 5.8S ribosomal RNA (bases 1-105)
Source: RNAcentral